RNAcentral lists this ribosomal RNA (595 nucleotides) under fungal sp. 24 CC 09-09. RNAcentral's name for it is "eukaryotic LSU rRNA". The stretch from base 177 to 330 matches the Rfam family "5.8S ribosomal RNA". The record is from RNAcentral. Lineage: Eukaryota; Fungi.
CUUGGUCAUUUAGAGGAAGUAAAAGUCGUAACAAGGUUUCCGUAGGUGAACCUGCGGAAGGAUCAUUAGUGAACGCCCUUCAUGGGUUUAAACUAUUCCAAACCUCUGUGAACCGUGCCCCUCGGGGCUAAUUUUACAAACAUGGUGUAAUGAACGUCAUAACUUUAACAAAACAAAACUUUCAACAACGGAUCUCUUGGCUCUCGCAUCGAUGAGGAACGCAGCGAAAUGCGAUAAGUAAUGUGAAUUGCAGAAUUCAGUGAAUCAUCGAAUCUUUGAACGCACCUUGCACCCUUUGGUAAUCCAAAGGGUACACCUGUCUGAGUGUCAUUGUAAUCUCACUCCACCGGCUUUUUGUUGAUGGAUGUGGACCUGGACCCUGUUGUGUUAUUACAACUGGUCUGAAAUGCAUGAGUGCACCCUGCUGUUGCAGCGUUUUCAGUGUGAUAAGCAUCUUCACUGGAUCAAGUUCCCUUGGGACACGCAGGCAUUGUGGGCUCUGUGCUGGCAAACCGUCUUUGGACAAGCUUGACAAUUUGACCUCAGAUCAGGUGGGACUACCCGCUGAACUUAAGCAUAUCAAUAAGCGGAGGAA